UACGAAGGGGGCUAGCGUUGUUCGGAAUUACUGGGCGUAAAGCGCGUGUAGGCGGGUCCUUAAGUCAGGGGUGAAAUGCCAAGGCUCAACCUUGGAACUGCCUUUGAUACUGGGGAUCUUGAGUCCGGGAGAGGAAGGCGGAAUUCUCGGUGUAGAGGUGAAAUUCGUAGAUAUCGAGAGGAACACCGGUGGCGAAGGCGGCCUUCUGGACAGUGACUGACGCUGAGACGCGAAAGCGUGGGGAGCAAACAGG
Molecule: ribosomal RNA, 253 nt
Filed under: uncultured bacterium
Lineage: Bacteria
Description: partial 16S ribosomal RNA
Rfam family: Bacterial small subunit ribosomal RNA
Source: RNAcentral